GGCCACCCGUCGGCUGGAGGCUUUGGCCUGCUGCCCCUCCAGCAACACAUCCAGGCUCGGCAUGCGGUAUGGGCUGUGCGCUUCAUCAUAGCGGCCUUCGGGCUAUCUAACGCGUCAUGUGGGCCAGGGACAGGUGGAGCUGCAGGAACCACAGGUGGUACCGGGGGGCACGGGAGGGCAGAUGGUGGUCUCCAUCCCUGGGUCCGGACGCUCUCCGCCUAUUUGCUGCUCACCCACCCCGCCUUCCAACCGUGGGCCCUGACGACCGCCAGCCAAGCCGGGCCCCGACUCGGCGGAAGCGACCUACCCACGGAUAUCAGCCGGAUUGUGGGUGCCCUGGGACACCUACCACCGCUCCGGGAUAUCGAGACCAGCCCCCUGUCCCCCGGACCGUGGUGCUGGGCAACCGCGUUGUGGGGUAACCCGUUGCUCCCCAAUACCGGCGAGGCAGACCCAGACAGUUUGAACCGCCGCCCGGGCCUGGAGACGCACUUCGUGGGGAUCGCUACAUGCAGGAAACUGCAAACGGUGGGCGACCUAGUGCGGGUCUGGGACCUAGUGGUGCAUACUCGAGUGGCCUCCCUCCCCAGGUCGACCUGGCCCGAAUGG
Molecule: long non-coding RNA, 609 nt
Filed under: Volvox carteri
Lineage: Eukaryota; Viridiplantae; Chlorophyta; Chlorophyceae; Chlamydomonadales; Volvocaceae
Description: long non-coding RNA (VCAR_LNC000072)
Source: RNAcentral